GUGUUAUGAUCUCUCUCUCUCUCUCUCUCUCUCUCUCUCUCUCUCUCUCUCUCUUUUACUGGAGACUCCAGAAACCUGACUCUUUAUAAGAUGUAUUCUUUUUUAAAUAGAUAUAGGGAGAGAGAGAAAGAGAGAGAGAGAGAGGCUUUUUAAUAUU
This 157-nucleotide microRNA precursor is filed under the name Marmota monax (woodchuck). Lineage: Eukaryota; Metazoa; Chordata; Mammalia; Rodentia; Sciuridae. The record is from RNAcentral.